Gasterosteus aculeatus aculeatus (three-spined stickleback) is the source of this 1874-nucleotide long non-coding RNA. The record is from Ensembl. NCBI's taxonomy places the organism in Eukaryota, Metazoa, Chordata, Actinopteri, Perciformes, Gasterosteidae.
CGCAAAUCACAGACUGCGCCUGCAAAGGGCGUGGGCUUUGUCUUUAAUAGUGUUAUUACAUAGCUGCAUGGAUCCCCCGGUAGUUGAGGGCGUAUUCUACGCCUCGCGGAUGCGCUUGAGCGUCGGCACCUGCGUGAGAACGACCCGCGGACGAAGAGAAACCGGCUUUUAUUUACUCCGACCGAACGUCUGACACGUGAACGCAACCCCGCGCGAUGGCUUGGAUACUUCCUACAAAAUAAAUCGAUAGAUAGUCCCUUAUGCGUCUAUCUUUCCUCUCUCUCUCUCUCUCGCUUUCCACAGCCUCUAAUGGCGACGUCGCGUUUUGCACACAAUGGCUUUCAUCAGCAGUGCGCAUUUAGCAGAAUAGCGAAAUAAAGCACAGCCCGGUUCUAGUCGGAUAUGGCGGGGAGCACAUCCGAGCCGCUGUGCCAGCCGUGCGUUUACCGCGGAGCCUUCAAAGUGGAGCUACAGGUGAGGAGACCUCUGAUGCCGGUCCAGCUGAGUCCGGAGCAGGUGGGCCUGGAGAUGUUGUGUCUGUGCGGGCAGCUGGACCUCCUCAUCAGGGCACAGAUGCAGCAGUUCCAGGAGCAGCUGGGACACGGCUGCAGCCCGGAGGAGUCAGACACGUUUCAGGCUCAAGGAUCAGAGAUCCUUGACCAGAUGCUGCAGUGCCUUGAACAUCUACCAAAGCCUAUGCCCCAGCUGGAGGACUACCUGGACAUGGUGGGUCUGUCGGUCAUGUUCCCCCGUGUAGAGGUGUUCCUCAUUCAAGGCAGCCCAGUGGACAUGCUGGAGAGGCCGCCGAUGGACGACUACUACUCCCACGUCACCAAACUGAACCAGCUCCUGGUGCUGAGUCAACAGCUGGAAGAAGAUAUCCGGCACCUCGGGAGUCACAAAUACAUUGCCCACCAGCUGUCGGUCAUCUAUCAAGUCGUCUGCUCUUUCAGAGGCAUUCAGGCUUUUUCCAAAAUGAAGAAAGACAUCGAGGCCAACUUCAAACAGCUGAAGCAGUCUCUGGUGGCGGAGGAGGGCUCCAGGCACGAACCUCAGCUGGCCGCAAACUACAUCGACUGGGUACUAGAGCUGACUCAGAGCUUGACGUCGCUGGUGUUGACGCUGCCCGAGGAGCUGACCGAGGAACUCGACCAGGCCGUGACCUUCGUGUCCCAGUUCCUUUCCUGACUCCCCCCCCCCCACCCCCAAAGCUGACGCCUGGUGUUGUCACGACUGUCAAACGGUGCUAUGUUAUUGAAUUCAACCGGGGGGAUUGCGUACUCCAUUUACAAAUCAUGUAGGUUUUAUAUAUAUAUGUAUAUAAUUCGUCCUCCUGGUCCAUAUUCGUUCCUACGGUGAGUCAGUUAGAGAUGAAUGUAAUGUAUGAAUCCCUCCUUGCACUACUGUCAUAACUACUGUUAAACUUUCUUUUUUUUUAACCUAAAGUGGAAUAAUAAAAUGUAAUGCAAUAGGGAAACAUGUUUGUGUUCAUAUCCAAAGCAACAAGGAUGGAAUCCUUGUAUAUCUUUUUUAAUUUUUUCUUUUUUUUACCAAUUUACUAUAUUAUUCAUGACGUGAUGAACACAAUGGCUCCUCCUGCUGUUCAACUCGUGCGCAGUGUCAUGAAACCACGGCAGCGCCCUUCUGAACGAACAUCUGAUGCGGUUAAUUAAAACCAUUGCUGCCACACUUGUUGUACACUUUUUACACAUUUUACACACAUUAGACAUUUUGACACCGAACUCACAGCAGCACAGAUUCAAUACGAAGACCCGUCCUGCUGCGUACAAGUACUAAGUCACAUUGUGACGAGUCCCGUCCACGGACGCGCCCCACAGAUGUUGGCAGCGCUGAAGAACCGAGCUGGACGGAGC